CCAGACUCCUACGGGAGGCAGCAGUGAGGAAUAUUGGUCAAUGGUCGUAAGACUGAACCAGCCAAGUAGCGUGCAGGAUGACGGCCCUAUGGGUUGUAAACUGCUUUUAUGCGGGGAUAAAAUGCGUCACGUGUGAUGUUUUGUAGGUACCGCAUGAAUAAGGACCGGCUAAUUCCGUGCCAGCAGCCGCGGUAAUACGGAGGAUGCGAGCGUUAUCCGGAUUUAUUGGGUUUAAAGGGUGCGCAGGCGGCGUGUCAAGUCAGCGGUAAAAUGUCGGGGCUCAACCCCGGCCGGCCGUUGAAACUGGCGUGCUCGAGUUGGAGAGAAGUAUGCGGAAUUCGUGGUGUAGCGGUGAAAUGCAUAGAUAUCACGAAGAACCCCGAUUGCGAAGGCAGCAUACCGGCUCCACACUGACGCUGAGGCACGAAAGCGUGGGUAUCGAACAGGAUUAGAUCCCCGUGUA
RNAcentral lists this ribosomal RNA (463 nucleotides) under uncultured bacterium. RNAcentral's name for it is "bacterial SSU rRNA". It matches the Rfam family "Bacterial small subunit ribosomal RNA", at positions 331 to 792 of the family's 1533-position model. The record is from RNAcentral.